This 292-nucleotide unclassified non-coding RNA is filed under the name Hevea brasiliensis (rubber tree). Lineage: Eukaryota; Viridiplantae; Streptophyta; Magnoliopsida; Malpighiales; Euphorbiaceae. The record is from RNAcentral.
GGAAGAAGAAACUAAUUCAAUCAACUAGUGGUAAAGUUAUUUAAACUAUAUUCCAUAAUCACAUCAAUCACCAGCCAAAAAUUCAUCAAGAAGAAAAACACGUUGUGUCAUGAGUAGGGUAUAAUUAAUAUCAUUUAAGUUAGGUCAAGAUGUGAAAUGCAAGAAAACUUAAAUGAGGUUACAGCACAAAAAGUACCAUUAACUUAAUUCUCUUAAAAUUCCAAGCGUUGCCAAACUGCCUGCUUACCGGAGCUAGAGGCCAAAAGUGCAUAUGCAGCAAAGUUGCAAAAUC